Molecule: regulatory RNA element, 84 nt
Organism: Eubacterium sp. 14-2
Lineage: Bacteria; Bacillati; Bacillota; Clostridia; Eubacteriales; Eubacteriaceae
Rfam family: S10-Clostridia ribosomal protein leader
Source: Rfam
UGAUAGCGAUGAAGCGUGAGGUUGCUGCCCGAAGAAAGGCAGGUUUUCCGUGGAGCGAAUGUCAAGUUAGGAAACUGGCGACAA